ACAACCCCAUGCCGUCGUAGCCGCCGCCCGCGCCCGUCUCCAACCGCCGCAUGUCCACGGGUGCCAUGGCGUGGGACAUGGAGGGAGAUUUUGCGGACUUUGUGAGGGGAUGGGAGAUUGGAAAGUGGAGGAGGAUCGAUACGGAAUGGCGUGUAUUUAAGCCGCAGGGUUCAAGAUUUUCCUACAGGUUUGCGUGCUGGCAGUCUUCUUAUUUUUGUUUUUUUUGGAAAGACGCGGGUGGUGAUUUAUGAAGAAUAAUGACUGAACCGCUGUCGCGUAC
Molecule: long non-coding RNA, 280 nt
Filed under: Hordeum vulgare
Lineage: Eukaryota; Viridiplantae; Streptophyta; Magnoliopsida; Poales; Poaceae
Description: long non-coding RNA (HVUL_LNC005071)
Source: RNAcentral